Molecule: ribosomal RNA, 685 nt
Filed under: uncultured bacterium
Lineage: Bacteria
Description: bacterial SSU rRNA
Rfam family: Bacterial small subunit ribosomal RNA
Source: RNAcentral
UAGCGGGUAUUGACCCCUGCUGUGCCGAAGUUAACGCAUUAAGUUCUCCGCCUGGGGAGUACGGCCGCAAGGCUAAAACUCAAAGGAAUUGACGGGGACCCGCACAAGCGGUGGAGCAUGUGGUUUAAUUCGACGCAACGCGAAGAACCUUACCUGGAUUUGACAUCCUCUGACCUCCAUGGAAACAUGGCUUUCUAUGCUUGCAUAGACAGAGUGACAGGUGCUGCAUGGCUGUCGUCAGCUCGUGUCGUGAGAUGUUGGGUUAAGUCCCGCAACGAGCGCAACCCUUGUUUUUAGUUGCUAUUAUUAAGUUAAGCACUCUAGAAAUACUGCCUCGGUUAACGGGGAGGAAGGUGGGGAUGACGUCAAGUCCUCAUGGCCUUUAUAUCCAGGGCUACACACGUGCUACAAUGGGCUGUACAAAGGGUUGCCACUUCGUGAGAAGGAGCUAAUCCCAAAAAGCAGUUCUCAGUUCGGAUCGGAGUCUGCAACUCGACUCCGUGAAGUUGGAAUCGCUAGUAAUCGUGGGUCAGCAUGCCACGGUGAAUACGUUCCCGGGUCUUGUACACACCGCCCGUCACACCACGAAAGUCGGCUGUACCAGAAGUUGCUGGGCUAACCCUUCGGGGAUGCAGGUACCUAAGGUACGGUCGGUAAUUGGGGUGAAGUCGUAACAAGGUAGCCG